RNAcentral lists this long non-coding RNA (572 nucleotides) under Fukomys damarensis (Damara mole-rat). Its description in RNAcentral is "lncRNA (ENSFDAG00000033590.1)". Lineage: Eukaryota; Metazoa; Chordata; Mammalia; Rodentia; Bathyergidae. The record is from RNAcentral.
AUGGACCCAGAACAUCUCCUAAAGAUGAAGGCUGUCUGUUAUUUACCCACUCUCCUCUGGGCGGAGCAGGAGCUGCCCAAGGGAGAAGAAUCGCCAGUGUUUUACUUACAGCUCUACUCCAAGUGCCUGGACAGCGGUCGGCGUGUGACAAGAGCCCACACUGGUGGAGCAAAUCCACCCCACUACCCAGACUCCAGGCUCUGUACCUGAGGUGGCAGAGGGAUGCUGAAGGCAGGAGAGGGAAGGACCACACCGGCAGUAGCUCUCAGGUCCUUUCCCUGGGCAUGCCCCCUUGGGGAUGGCACAGGACUUGACCAAAAUGUAACUAAUGAGCUUCCCACCCAAGCAGCGCUUCUCCUAGGAUUCAUGCUUGCAGGGAAAGGUUGACUAGAGCCACCACCUACUGAGUUAUCUGCUCUGAAAAGCCAGGUGUCCUGGCCACUCCCGCCUCCGGGUCUGUUACCUGCAUCCCCUCCCUGGCCAUACUCUUGGCUCAGCCCCACCUCUGGCUUCCUUUAUACAAUCAGUUGCUCCCUGCUCCCACUACCAUCCUUCCUUCUUUUCCAUCUUCA